Octodon degus (degu) is the source of this 140-nucleotide small nuclear RNA. RefSeq annotates it as U4 spliceosomal RNA. The transcript has a single exon. The record is from RefSeq and is a predicted model, not a curated record. NCBI's taxonomy places the organism in Eukaryota, Metazoa, Chordata, Mammalia, Rodentia, Octodontidae.
AGCUUUGCACAGUGGCAGUAUCGUAGCCAAUGAGGUUUAUCCGAGGUGCAAUUAUUGCUAAACUUUUCUCUUUUUCUUUCUUUCUUUUUUUUUUUUUUUGAAACGAGGAUUGAAUUCAGGUCCUUGCACUUACCAGGCAA